AAAACAAUAGGCAUCAAUUUGAAAAAAUCCGUUAUUAUUCCGUUCUUAAGUAGCAUAUGUAAUUGUUAGACAAAUUAAUAUUUAAAAUUAUUUUUAUAUUUAAAAUCAAUAGUUUCAAUAUUAUUUUCAAGUGACAAGCUAAUAUUUUUUGUGUUCCUUCCUCUACGAUGAAAAGCACUCGCAGGAUUGGGAUCAAGCCAUGAAAAGAACCAAUUGACUGUUGAACAUGAUAAUGGUUUAACCCUUUUCAACCCACUCGCUCUGAAUAUUUAGCAGAAACCUGAAAAUGUCAAUUGUUGAAAGACACAGGCAAAGUAUCACAUUAGAAGCUAUCAAUUCAUUUUCAUAAUUGUGGCUUUGGAAAAGAAAGCUAAAAAUUGGAUAACUUUUAUUCAACCAACACUCAUCCAGUAUAAUCAUUGCGAUUCUCGGUUCAUCUGAGCUAAAUUAGUAUGUAGUGUUAAUGUUGACAUGGAUGAUUGAUUCUCUCCUUUUCCAUUCGUUUCUUGGUCUCCCUGAUAAAAAUUGAACUGUUUCCAAGAAAUCUGUUUAUGCUGAAAAUUUAACUGUUAUCUUGCUGAUUUUUAUUCCUUGGAAUAUUCCUGAUUACUCUCUUUGGAAAUCAACUCACUAAGUCAAUGGUGUUAUUAUUGGCCUAGAAAAAGUUGCCUCUUUCAAUGACUCUAUAGAUCUCCAAAGCCAUUCAGGAUUCAGGAAAAUCAAAGGCUUGACGGUCAAAGAUACACUUUUUGAAAGAUGACCUCUGGCUUAAUCCAAUCAUUUUGUCAACCUGGAUACACUUAAAGAUAAGACAAAGAAUCAUUGAUAAAUGGUCAAAAAACAAUGGAGGAGCAACAUUAUCACAAUGGAUUCACUUGGAUGGAUGGUAAAUUACAUCGACCCCAGGAUUAAUGUUACCGAAUAAACUUCCAUGGGAUUCACCAAGGCAAUGAUCCAAAGAUUGAUUAUCUGAUAAUGGUCUUAUCAAUCUUACCUU
Long non-coding RNA from Tetranychus urticae (two-spotted spider mite), 997 nucleotides. RefSeq lists it as uncharacterized. Lineage: Eukaryota; Metazoa; Arthropoda; Arachnida; Trombidiformes; Tetranychidae. The record is from RefSeq and is a predicted model, not a curated record.